UACAGAGGAGCCAAGCGUUGUCCGGAUUGACUGGGCGUAAAGCGCACGCAGGCGGAUGCGCGCGUGGGGUGUGAAAUCUGGCCGCUUAACGGCCAGGCGCCAUCCCAUACGGCGCGUCUGGAGUGAUGCAGAGGUCGGUGGAAUUGCCGGUGUAGUGGUGAAAUGCGUAGAGAUCGGCAGGAACACCCAGGGGGAAACCAGCCGACUGGGCAUCCUAACUGACGCUGAGGUGCGAGAGCGUGGGGAGCGAACCGG
This 255-nucleotide ribosomal RNA is filed under the name uncultured bacterium. Its description in RNAcentral is "partial 16S ribosomal RNA". It matches the Rfam family "Bacterial small subunit ribosomal RNA", at positions 524 to 776 of the family's 1533-position model. The record is from RNAcentral.